This 253-nucleotide ribosomal RNA is filed under the name uncultured bacterium. RNAcentral's name for it is "partial 16S ribosomal RNA". It matches the Rfam family "Bacterial small subunit ribosomal RNA", at positions 524 to 776 of the family's 1533-position model. The record is from RNAcentral.
UACGUAGGGCGCAAGCGUUGUCCGGAAUUAUUGGGCGUAAAGAGCUCGUAGGCGGCCUGUCGCGUCUGCUGUGAAAUCCCGGGGCUCAACCCCGGGCGUGCAGUGGAUACGGGCUGGCUGGAGGCAGGCAGGGGAGAACGGAAUUCCUGGUGUAGCGGUGAAAUGCGCAGAUAUCAGGAGGAACACCGGUGGCGAAGGCGGUUCUCUGGGCCUGUUCUGACGCUGAGGAGCGAAAGCGUGGGGAGCGAACAGG